UGCGGGCUGAUGUAACCGGCAGCAUGGCUGGCCCUGACCCAGUUCGUGGAGGUUCGAAUCCUCCGCCCGCAGC
Molecule: transfer RNA, 73 nt
Filed under: Actinocatenispora rupis
Lineage: Bacteria; Bacillati; Actinomycetota; Actinomycetes; Micromonosporales; Micromonosporaceae
Description: tRNA-Gln
Rfam family: tRNA
About the family: Transfer RNA (tRNA) molecules are approximately 80 nucleotides in length. Their secondary structure includes four short double-helical elements and three loops (D, anti-codon, and T loops).
Source: RNAcentral